RNAcentral lists this ribosomal RNA (170 nucleotides) under uncultured bacterium. Its description in RNAcentral is "partial 16S ribosomal RNA". It matches the Rfam family "Bacterial small subunit ribosomal RNA", at positions 1331 to 1500 of the family's 1533-position model. The record is from RNAcentral.
AUCGCUAGUAAUCGCGGAUCAGAAUGCCGCGGUGAAUACGUUCCCGGGUCUUGUACACACCGCCCGUCACACCAUGGGAGUCGGAAAUGCCCGAAGUCUGUGACCUAACCGUAAGGAAGGAGCAGCCGAAGGCAGGUCGGAUGACUGGGGUGAAGUCGUAACAAGGUAAC